Non-coding RNA from Pelobates cultripes (western spadefoot toad), 255 nucleotides. NCBI's taxonomy places the organism in Eukaryota, Metazoa, Chordata, Amphibia, Anura, Pelobatidae. The record is from the annotation of a GenBank genome assembly.
GGAGAAGUGUCUCCACCGCUUAAUUUAUUUAAUUAUUAGCCGAACUGUGCAGGUGGACAGUGAUCUGUCCACUACCAAUUCUUUGAAUGGAAGCCCUGACCCAAUAUCAAUGGGUGAGGCAGGAGCUUUUAGUCCCCCCUCCCUGCUUCUUACCUGGCCAGGGAGGGGGGAAUAUGGCAUUCCCUGGGGGGCCCGCGGCGUUCCUGGGGGCGCCAGCAAACGCUUACUUAACCUUCAACAGCUCCCUUCAGCUCC